Molecule: unclassified non-coding RNA, 164 nt
Filed under: uncultured Ascomycota
Lineage: Eukaryota; Fungi; Ascomycota
Description: sequence contains ITS1
Source: RNAcentral
CAGAGUUUUCUAAACUCCCAACCCUAUGUGAACUUACCUUUGUUGCCUCGGCGGGGCCUACCCGGUACCGACCCCUUUUGGGAGAGGUUACCCUGUAGCCCGCCGGUGGAUUUUCAAACUCUUGUUAUUUUAUGUAAUCUGAGAGUCUUAUUUUAAAUAAGUCA